Molecule: ribosomal RNA, 462 nt
Filed under: uncultured bacterium
Lineage: Bacteria
Description: bacterial SSU rRNA
Rfam family: Bacterial small subunit ribosomal RNA
Source: RNAcentral
GAUGAACGCUAGCGGGAGGCUUAAUACAUGCAAGUCGAGCGGGAUUCUCCUUCGGGAGAUGAGAGCGGCGCACGGGUGAGUAACGCGUACGUAACCUGCCUUACAGAGGGGAAUAGCCCUGGGAAACUGGGAUUAAUACUCCAUAGUAUAUAGAUGGCGCAUGCUGUUUAUAUUAAAGUUGAGGCGCCUAGAGAGAAGCUCGCGGCUGAUUAGCUUGUUGGUAAGGUAAGAGCUUACCAAGGCGACGAUCAGUAUCUGGUUUGAGAGGACGAUCAGACACACUGGAACUGAGACACGGUCCAGACUCCUACGGGAGGCAGCAGUGGGGAAUUUUCCGCAAUGGGCGAAAGCCUGACGGAGCAAUACCGCGUGAGGGAAGAAUGCCUAUGGGUUGUAAACCUCUUUUUUCAGGGAGGAAUAAAAUGACGUGUACCUGAAGAAUAAGCAUCGGCUAACUCCGUG